GAUGAACGCUGACAGAAUGCUUAACACAUGCAAGUCGACCGGAACUACGGUUUGGGUGGCGGACGGGUGAGUAACGCGUACAGAACGUUCCUCACAGCUAGGGACAACAUUUGGAAACGAAUGCUAAUACCGGAUAUUAUGAGCAUAUGGCACCGUAUAAUUACGAAAGCUAUAUGCGCUGUAGGAGAGCUUUGCGUCCCAUUAGCGAGGUGGAGAGGUAACAGCUCACCAAGGCGAUGAUGGGUAGCCGGCCUGGGAGGGUGAUCGGCCACAAGGGCACGGGGGCGCGACCAUUACGCAUUCGUGGGGAAUGAGUGGAAACUUUUGGCAGAUGGACCGAGUGUCUGAUGCAGGCCUUCUGUGUGCAAGAUGAAGUUUUUCGGAAUGAAAAGUGCUUUCAGUAGAGAAGAAAAAAAUGACGGUACCAACAGAAGAAGCAACGGCUAACUACGUG
This 454-nucleotide ribosomal RNA is filed under the name uncultured bacterium. Its description in RNAcentral is "partial 16S ribosomal RNA". It matches the Rfam family "Bacterial small subunit ribosomal RNA", at positions 28 to 507 of the family's 1533-position model. The record is from RNAcentral.